CAGCGAAUAGAAGAUCAAUACACAAAGACACCGGUUUUACCAAAAAAAAAAACACGUAUCUAAUAAUCGAUGUGUCAACCAUUUCGUAUUUCUAAAUGUAGCUGACACAAUUGAAAAAUAAAGAGCCAGAAAGGCCAUAACACUCUCCAACAUAUCUUGAAACGAAUGGAUCAAAAACUUGGAAAUUAGAAUCAAUGCAAAAAUUCUAUAUCAUGACAAUGAACAAGAAAUCCAACCAAUUCUAACAACUCAGCGGACACUUCCGAGAGGAGAUAACACCAAUACAUACCCCGGACUUCAAACUUUUGACGACUAAGAGUAAACAUGUGCUGAAGAAUCAGACCCCGACCACAUAAUACUAAAGCAAGGAAGACGCCAAGUCAGACCCAAACAAAUUUAUUACUUUAUAUCAAUGAACAUUGUUGAAAGACAAUCCCUGUAUAACAAUUAACAGUAAAAAAAACCAACAAUCAUCCACCAAAUAUUAGAAUGCAUCAGAACAGCUACUCACUGAAACAAUUAAGAAGACAACAUAAUUUAUUCAUGACAAAACAUCAGAAGGAUUCAAAGCGGCACUUGUGUAAUGACCAUUACUUAUUGCGCUCUACAACUAGGUUCAAUAUAACCCUAGAUAUUCUGCAACGUACCUCUACAGAUAUAGAUACAGAAUUGCAUUAUAUAAACAUUAUGCAUAAGGACAUGUCUGCGGGGACACCACCGUAUUUGUAAUGGAGGUAAAUAGCAACAUCGGGGCCACUGAAAAUAGAGGUAGCAUGAGUGUUCAUAGAUCCAUUAAAAAUAUGUAUCAGAAGGAAGACGUAGAUACUUUUCCCGACUGAAUUAAGGCAGUUAGUUCAAGAAUAUGGAUUUGGACUCGCGCUAUUUCGGCUCUAUAAUGAACACUUUUCGUAGUCAAGUGUUGUUGACAAUAUUAAGAUCAACAGUUAUAACGUGGUCAGUAAGAUUGAAUAUGAAUACGGGAUUUGCACAGGUGCAAUCAGAAGGUUAAGAAUGCUCUCAUCAAUAUUGGGAUCCUGCAACACAUGUUUGUAGUUUUUAUUAGUAAUUUUAGUCGCAACAUGUGAGGUAUAGGUAUAAGAGAUGAUUUUAACUGACCGAUCUUUAGAGUUGUGAUGAAGGAUAUUGCCUAAAUUGGUGGCAAAAAACCUUUGUUGGCAAAUGCGAGUUUGAGAAAGGGUUGUUUUGUUGUUUCAUCUUUAUCAGUGUCAAUCGGUUUGAACGAUUUGUGAUGGGAAAUAAACGAAAUGAUGGCUGUAUUUUGUUCUAGUUCUAGUUAGAAUGAGUGUUUCCAAACAUAAUUUGUACAAAGAAAUAUCUUUUGAAAAUAUGAAAAUAGCUUCAGGUGGAUGUGACCUUACGUACAAAUGAUAAAUGGUCAAUUAUACAGACAUCAUGAAGAAUGUGUGAUGUAUAAUGAGAUGACAAAUGCGUGUUGAAAUAUUACAGAGGUACCAGAAGGGUUAGGAACUCAUGCAUACAGAGUGCAUUUUUCAUGACAUGAUUUAUUUAAAAGCCAAUUGCGUGCAUACACUAUUAAUUGUUGGAUUUUUAUCAUAUGUUUGGCAUUGUGUUGAAUUAGUAAAUAUUGUUUCAGUA
Molecule: long non-coding RNA, 1617 nt
Organism: Mytilus californianus (California mussel)
Lineage: Eukaryota; Metazoa; Mollusca; Bivalvia; Mytilida; Mytilidae
Exons: 2
Source: RefSeq, a predicted model, not a curated record